This 433-nucleotide ribosomal RNA is filed under the name uncultured bacterium. RNAcentral's name for it is "partial 16S ribosomal RNA". It matches the Rfam family "Bacterial small subunit ribosomal RNA", at positions 29 to 507 of the family's 1533-position model. The record is from RNAcentral.
AACGAACGCUGGCGGCAGGCCUAACACAUGCAAGUCGAGCGAGCAUUUCGGUGCUAGCGGCGGACGGGUGAGUAACGCGUGGGAACGUGCCCUUUUCUGCGGAAUAGUCCUGGGAAACUGGGGGUAAUACCGCAUACGCCCUUUUGGGGAAAGAUUUAUCGGAGAAGGAUCGGCCCGCGUUGGAUUAGGUAGUUGGUGGGGUAAUGGCCCACCAAGCCGACGAUCCAUAGCUGGUUUGAGAGGAUGAUCAGCCGCACUGGGACUGAGACACGGCCCAGACUCCUACGGGAGGCAGCAGUGGGGAAUCUUAGACAAUGGGGGCAACCCUGAUCUAGCCAUGCCGCGUGAGUGAUGAAGGCCUUAGGGUUGUAAAGCUCUUUCAGCUGGGAAGAUAAUGACGGUACCAGCAGAAGAAGCCCCGGCUAACUCCGUG